CUUCACUAAUCUAGCUGUGUACAUGUAAAGGGUGAAUUAAAGGAAAUAUAAACGUUAUGAACACGGAGAGAAAAUUAAAAAGAACUGAAAGUUGUUUUAUUUCUUGAAAAUGGAACUAUAACACAUGUGAAACAGAAUAGUGCCGCUUCAAGUCGGCGACGCAAUUGUCAUGUUCUAUAUUUUAGACGUCACACAUCCCAAGUCAGACAUAACAAGACCGAC
RNAcentral lists this long non-coding RNA (222 nucleotides) under Mytilus galloprovincialis (Mediterranean mussel). Lineage: Eukaryota; Metazoa; Mollusca; Bivalvia; Mytilida; Mytilidae. The record is from RNAcentral.